Molecule: non-coding RNA, 176 nt
Organism: Vicia faba (fava bean)
Lineage: Eukaryota; Viridiplantae; Streptophyta; Magnoliopsida; Fabales; Fabaceae
Source: the annotation of a GenBank genome assembly
UGGAUAGGCUGUACAAUAAUUCUAGCUAUAGUGAAAUUUCUUACAUGUUGGUAAGGAGACUGAAGUACUCUCGAAGUGUGAGGGGAACCCGUAUAAAUCUCUGGUGUUCUUUAUUUUCUGUAUUUACCGCUUUCAUAUUCAUAGACAAACAAGAAAAUAAAAACAACAUCAUAUAA